UGGGGAAUUUUGGACAAUGGGCGAAAGCCUGAUCCAGCAAUGCCGCGUGUGUGAAGAAGGCCUUCGGGUUGUAAAGCACUUUUGUCCGGAAAGAAAUCCUUGGCUCUAAUACANUCGGGGGGAUGACGGUACCGGAAGAAUAAGCACCGGGCUAACUACGUGCCAGCAGCCGCGGUAAUACGUAGGGUGCAAGCGUUAAUCGGAAUUACUGGGCGUAAAGCGUGCGCAGGCGGUUUGCUAAGACCGAUGUGAAAUCCCCGGGCUCAACCUGGGAACUGCAUUGGUGACUGGCAGGCUAGAGUAUGGCAGAGGGGGGUAGAAUUCCACGUGUAGCAGUGAAAUGCGUAGAGAUGUGGAGGAAUACCGAUGGCGAAGGCAGCCCCCUGGGCCAAUACUGACGCUCAUGCACGAAAGCGUGGGGAGCAAACAGGAUUAGAUACCCUGGUAGUCCACGCCCUAAACGAUGUCACUAGUUGUUGGGGAUUCAUUUCCUUAGUAACGUAGCUAACGCGUGAAGUUGACCGCCUGGGGAGUACGGUCG
RNAcentral lists this ribosomal RNA (541 nucleotides) under uncultured bacterium. Its description in RNAcentral is "partial 16S ribosomal RNA". It matches the Rfam family "Bacterial small subunit ribosomal RNA", at positions 355 to 888 of the family's 1533-position model. The record is from RNAcentral.